GACGUAGGGCGCAAGCGUUGUCCGGAAUUAUUGGGCGUAAAGAGCUCGUAGGCGGCUUGUUGCGUCGACUGUGAAAAACCACGACUCAACCGUGGGACUGCAGUCGAUACGGGCAGACUAGAGUGCGGUAGGGGAGACUGGAAUUCCUGGUGUAGCGGUGAAAUGCGCAGAUAUCAGGAGGAACACCGGUGGCGAAGGCGGGUCUCUGGGCCGUAACUGACGCUGAGGAGCGAAAGCGUGGGGAGCGAACAGG
This 253-nucleotide ribosomal RNA is filed under the name uncultured bacterium. Its description in RNAcentral is "partial 16S ribosomal RNA". It matches the Rfam family "Bacterial small subunit ribosomal RNA", at positions 524 to 776 of the family's 1533-position model. The record is from RNAcentral.